RNAcentral lists this ribosomal RNA (501 nucleotides) under uncultured bacterium. Its description in RNAcentral is "partial 16S ribosomal RNA". It matches the Rfam family "Bacterial small subunit ribosomal RNA", at positions 30 to 523 of the family's 1533-position model. The record is from RNAcentral.
AUUGAACGCUGGCGGCAGGCUUAACACAUGCAAGUCGAGCGGAGAUGAGGUGCUUGCACCUUAUCUUAGCGGCGGACGGGUGAGUAAUGCUUAGGAAUCUGCCUAUUAGUGGGGGGCAACAUUCCGAAAGGAAUGCUAAUACCGCAUACGUCCUACGGGAGAAAGCAGGGGAUCUUCGGACCUUGCGAUAAUAGAUGAGCCUAAGGCGGUUUAGCUAGUUGGGGGGGUAAAGGCCUAUCAAGGCGACGAUCUGUAGCCGGUCGGAGAGGAUGAUCCGCCACACUGGGACGGAGACACGGCCCAGACUCCUACGGGAGGCAGCAGUGGGGAAUAUUGGACAAUGGGGGGAACCCUGAUCCAGCCAUGCCGCGUGUGUGAAGAAGGCAUUAUGGUUGUAAAGCACUUUAAGCGAGGAGGAGGCUACUGAGACUAAUACUCUUGGAUAGUGGACGUUACUCGCAGAAUAAGCACCGGCUAACUCUGUGCCAGCCGCCGCAGUAA